RNAcentral lists this ribosomal RNA (424 nucleotides) under Hyalinobatrachium cappellei group sp. ABGD cluster 5. RNAcentral describes it as "partial large subunit ribosomal RNA". It matches the Rfam family "Bacterial large subunit ribosomal RNA", at positions 1834 to 2457 of the family's 2925-position model. The record is from RNAcentral. Lineage: Eukaryota; Metazoa; Chordata; Amphibia; Anura; Centrolenidae.
CUUGAAUAAGCAUAAGAGGUCCAGCCUGCCCAGUGACCAUGUUCAACGGCCGCGGUAUCCUAACCGUGCGAAGGUAGCGUAAUCACUUGUUCUUUAAAUAAGGACUAGUAUGAACGGCAUCACGAAGGUUACACUGUCUCCUCUUUCUAAUCAGUGAAACUAAUCUCCUCGUGAAGAAACGAGGAUGAACAUAUAAGACGAGAAGACCCUAUGGAGCUUCAAACUAUAAAGCACCUGCCCCAGUAUUACUUAAUUCCAGAAAACCACACCUACCCAGGCAAGAUGACCUUUAGUUUUAGGUUGGGGUGACCGCGGAGCAAAAAAAAACCUCCACAUUGAAAGGAGCCAACUCCUUAGCCAAGAGCCACACCUCUAAGCACCAACAAAAAGACAUCAAUUGACCCAAUAUUUUUGAUCAACGAAC